RNAcentral lists this ribosomal RNA (410 nucleotides) under uncultured bacterium. Its description in RNAcentral is "bacterial SSU rRNA". It matches the Rfam family "Bacterial small subunit ribosomal RNA", at positions 8 to 422 of the family's 1533-position model. The record is from RNAcentral.
AGAGUUUGAUCCUGGCUCAGAUUGAACGCUGGCGGCAUGCCUUACACAUGCAAGUCGAACGGUAACAGGUCUUCGGAUGCUGACGAGUGGCGAACGGGUGAGUAAUGCAUCGGAACGUGCCCGAUCGUGGGGGAUAACGGAGCGAAAGCUUUGCUAAUACCGCAUACGAUCUACGGAUGAAAGCAGGGGACCGCAAGGCCUUGCGCGGACGGAGCGGCCGAUGGCAGAUUAGGUAGUUGGUGGGAUAAAAGCUUACCAAGCCGACGAUCUGUAGCUGGUCUGAGAGGACGACCAGCCACACUGGGACUGAGACACGGCCCAGACUCCUACGGGAGGCAGCAGUGGGGAAUUUUGGACAAUGGGCGAAAGCCUGAUCCAGCCAUGCCGCGUGCAGGAUGAAGGCCUUCGGG